AGAGUUUGAUCAUGGCUCAGAACGAACGCUGGCGGCGUGCUUAAUACAUGCAAGUCGAACGUGAUUCCCGACUUCGGUUGGGAUGAAAGUGGCGAACGGGUGAGUAACACGUAAGUAAUCUGCCUUCAAGUUUGGGAUAACCCUGCCAACGCGGGGCUAAUACCGGAUGUGGUCCAGCAGACCCAUGUUUGCGGGAUUAAAGGUCGCGAGACCGCUUGGAGAUGAGCUUGCGGCCCAUUAGCUAGUUGGUGAGGUAACGGCCCACCAAGGCAGGGAUGGGUAGCCGGCCUGAGAGGGUGUACGGCCACAUUGGGACUGAGAUACGGCCCAGACUCCUACGGGAGGCAGCAGUAGGGAAUUUUGCGCAAUGGACGGAAGUCUGACGCAGCAACGCCGCGUGAAGGAUGAAGGCCUUCGGGUUGUAAACUUCUGUUGGAUGGGAAAAAAAGCCUUUUAAGAGGAAUUGAUGGUACCAUUCGAGUAAGCACCGGCUAACUACGUGCCAGCAGCCGCGGUAAUACGUAGGGUGCGAGCGUUGUUCGGAAUCACUGGGCGUAAAGGGAGCGUAGGCGGAACUGUAAGUUAGAAGUUUAAUACAUGGGCUCAACCCGUGGUCUGCUUUUAAUACUGCGGUUCUUGAGUAUGGGAGAGGGCGAUGGAAUUCCAGGUGUAGCGGUGGAAUGCGUAGAUAUCUGGAAGAACACCAGUAGCGAAGGCGGUCGCCUGGCCCAAUACUGACGCUGAGGCUCGAAAGCUGGGGGAGCAAACAGGAUUAGAUACCCUGGUAGUCCCAGCCGUAAACGAUGGACACUAGUUGCCGGGAGAAUCUUGCUGAAAAACUCGAGCCAUCCGCAAAUUUCGGUUCC
RNAcentral lists this ribosomal RNA (866 nucleotides) under uncultured bacterium. RNAcentral describes it as "bacterial SSU rRNA". It matches the Rfam family "Bacterial small subunit ribosomal RNA", at positions 8 to 840 of the family's 1533-position model. The record is from RNAcentral.